This 924-nucleotide ribosomal RNA is filed under the name Diphterophora obesa. RNAcentral's name for it is "bacterial SSU rRNA". It matches the Rfam family "Eukaryotic small subunit ribosomal RNA", at positions 39 to 961 of the family's 1831-position model. Lineage: Eukaryota; Metazoa; Nematoda; Enoplea; Dorylaimida; Diphterophoridae. The record is from RNAcentral.
AAAGAUUAAGCCAUGCAUGUCUAAGCAAACUCUUGAAUGGUGAAGCCGCGAAUGGCUCAUUACAACAGCCAUAGUUUAUUAGAUCUCUACAUCCUACUUGGAUAGCUGUGGUAAUUCUAGAGCUAAUACACGCGUCAAGCUCGGACCUUACGGAACGAGCGCAUUUGUUAGUACAAACCAAUCGGGCCUCGGUCCGCCAUUUGGUGAAUCUGAAUAACUUUGCUGAUCGCACGGUCUCGUACCGGCGACAAAUCUUUCAAGUGUCUGCCUUAUCAACUUUCGAUGGUAGUUUAUACGCCUACCAUGGUUGUAACGGGUAACGGAGAAUAAGGGUUCGACUCCGGAGAGGGCGCCUGAGAAACGGCUACCACAUCCAAGGAAGGCAGCAGGCGCGCAAAUUACCCACUCCCAGCACGGGGAGGUAGUGACGAAAAAUAACGAGGCGGUUCUCUAUGAGGCCCGCUAUCGGAAUGGGUACAAUUUAAAUCCUUUAACGAGGAUCUAUUGGAGGGCAAGUCUGGUGCCAGCAGCCGCGGUAAUUCCAGCUCCAAUAGCGUAUAUUAAAGUUGUUGUGGUUAAAAAGCUCGUAGUUGGAUCUUCGUCUGGCUGAUGUGGUCCCCCUAAUGGGCGGUACUAUGUCGGCUGGACUACUCAUUCGGUUUUCUCUAGAUGCUCUUAACUGAGUGUCUUGAGUGGCCGGAACGUUUACUUUGAAAAAAUUAGAGUGCUCAAAGCAGGCGCUACGCCUGAACAUUCGUGCAUGGAAUAAUGGAAAAAGGUCUUUGCAGCCUUUUAAUGGGUUAUCCCUGUAAGGAAAUGAUCCAACGGGGACAAAACGGGGGGCAUUCCUAUUUGCGAAGUUUAAAGGGGAAAAUUCUUGGGAUCGCCCCAAGAACGGACUUAUUGCGAAAAGCAUUUUGCCAA